Molecule: long non-coding RNA, 320 nt
Organism: Gorilla gorilla gorilla (western lowland gorilla)
Lineage: Eukaryota; Metazoa; Chordata; Mammalia; Primates; Hominidae
Exons: 3
Source: RefSeq, a predicted model, not a curated record
UCAAUUUGAUGCCUGUUCAGUCAACGUCUUCCAUUUUGUUGCGGCUGGAGAACCUCCAACAGAAGUUAAGCAAAGUUCAACAGUAAAGCACAGUCUUCAUGGUGCACAGUUCUGUUCUGACAAGACAUAAUCAUAUAAUCACCACCAGAACCAAGUGUGAAGAGGAAAAGUAAAACCAGCAGCAAGAAGACUAUAGAGACCCAGCUGUGAGAAGACAGCGGCCCAUUCACUACAGUGGCUCUGGGUUCUGGCCUCUGGACUCAUGACUGGACCAAGCCCUCCAGGAAUCACUUUCUCUCCCCUCUCUCGUUCCCUGAUGA